UCUGGUUGAUCCUGCCAGUAGUCAUAUGCUUGUCUCAAAGAUUAAGCCAUGCAUGUCUAAGUAUAAGCAAUUUAUACAGUGAAACUGCGAAUGGCUCAUUAAAUCAGUUAUCGUUUAUUUGAUAGUUUCUUUACUACAUGGAAUACCUGUGGUAAUUCUAGAGCUAAUACAUGCUUAAAAUCCCAACUUACGAAGGGAUGUAUUUAUUAGAUAAAAAAUCAAUGUCUUCGGACUUCUGAUGAUUCAUAAUAACUUUUCGAAUCGCAUGGCUUUAUGCUGGCGAUGGUUCAUUCAAAUUUCUGCCCUAUCAACUUUUGAUGGUAGGAUAGUGGCCUACCAUGGUUUCAACGGGUAACGGGGAAUAAGGGUUCGAUUCCGGAGAGGGAGCCUGAGAAACGGCUACCACAUCCAAGGAAGGCAGCAGGCGCGCAAAUUACCCAAUCCUAAUUCAGGGAGGUAGUGACAAUAAAUAACGAUACAGGGCUUUAUGUCUUGUAAUUGGAAUGAGUACAAUUUAAAUACCUUAACGAGGAACAAUUGGAGGGCAAGUCUGGUGCCAGCAGCCGCGGUAAUUCCAGCUCCAAUAGCGUAUAUUAAAGUUGUUGCAGUUAAAAAGCUCGUAGUUGAACUUUGGGCUUGGAGAAUCGGUCCAACUUUGUUGUGUACUGUCUUCUCCAGGUCUUUCCUUCUGGUUCUCAUUUGGGGUUUACUCCAUUUGUUGAUCCAGGAUUUUUACUUUGAAAAAAUUAGAGUGUUCAAAGCAGGCGUUUUGCUCGAAUAUAUUAGCAUGGAAUAAUAGAAUAGGACGAUUGGUUCUAUUUUGUUGGUUUCUAGGACCAUCGUAAUGAUUAAUAGGGACGGUCGGGGGCAUCAGUAUUCAGUUGUCAGAGGUGAAAUUCUUGGAUUUACUGAAGACUAACUACUGCGAAAGCAUUUGUCAAGGACGUUUUCAUUAAUCAAGAACGAAAGUUAGGGGAUCGAAGAUGAUCAGAUACCGUCGUAGUCUUAACCAUAAACUAUGCCGACUAGGGAUCGGGCGGUGCCUUUUAUUGGCCCACUCGGCACCUUACGAGAAAUCAAAGUUUUUGGGUUCUGGGGGGAGUAUGGUCGCAAGGCUGAAACUUAAAGGAAUUGACGGAAGGGCACCACCAGGAGUGGAGCCUGCGGCUUAAUUUGACUCAACACGGGGAAACUCACCAGGUCCAGACACAAUAAGGAUUGACAGAUUGAGAGCUCUUUCUUGAUUUUGUGGGUGGUGGUGCAUGGCCGUUCUUAGUUGGU
This 1281-nucleotide ribosomal RNA is filed under the name Hanseniaspora uvarum DSM 2768. RNAcentral's name for it is "SSU rRNA". It matches the Rfam family "Eukaryotic small subunit ribosomal RNA", at positions 1 to 1302 of the family's 1831-position model. The record is from RNAcentral. Lineage: Eukaryota; Fungi; Ascomycota; Saccharomycetes; Saccharomycodales; Saccharomycodaceae.